GUGGUCACUUCGGCAGCACAUAUACUAAAAUUGGAAUGAUACAGAGAUUAGCAUGGCCCCUGCACAAGGAUGCCACACAAAUUCGUGAAGUGUUCCAUAUUUAA
This 104-nucleotide small nuclear RNA is filed under the name Jaculus jaculus (lesser Egyptian jerboa). The record is from RNAcentral. Lineage: Eukaryota; Metazoa; Chordata; Mammalia; Rodentia; Dipodidae.